This 167-nucleotide ribosomal RNA is filed under the name uncultured bacterium. Its description in RNAcentral is "partial 16S rRNA". It matches the Rfam family "Bacterial small subunit ribosomal RNA", at positions 355 to 511 of the family's 1533-position model. The record is from RNAcentral.
UAGGGAAUCUUCCACAAUGGGCGGCAAGCCUGAUGGAGCAACACCGCGUGAGUGAAGAAGGGUUUCGGCUCGUAAAGACUCUGUUGUUAAAGAAGAACACGUAUGAGAGUAACUGUUCAUACGUUGACGGUAUUUAACCAGAAAGUCACGGCUAACUACGUAGCCAG